Molecule: ribosomal RNA, 253 nt
Filed under: uncultured bacterium
Lineage: Bacteria
Description: partial 16S ribosomal RNA
Rfam family: Bacterial small subunit ribosomal RNA
Source: RNAcentral
UACGUAGGGUCCGAGCGUUGUCCGGAAUUAUUGGGCGUAAAGGGCUCGUAGGCGGGAUGGCAAGUCGGUCGUGAAAUCCUUCGGCUCAACCGAAGAACGUCGGCCGAUACUGCCGUUCUUGAGGGAUGCAGAGGAGAUUGGAAUUCCCGGUGUAGCGGUGAAAUGUGUAGAGAUCGGGAGGAACACCGGUGGCGAAGGCGGGUCUCUGGGCAUCUCCUGACGCUGAGGCGCGAAAGCGUGGGGAGCAAACGGG